Molecule: non-coding RNA, 46 nt
Filed under: Trichobilharzia regenti
Lineage: Eukaryota; Metazoa; Platyhelminthes; Trematoda; Strigeidida; Schistosomatidae
Source: RNAcentral
GUACUGCAGAAGAGUCCCAAACUAGGACGAAACAGUUGUCCAGUAC